GGGAGGGAGCGCGCCCCGCCAGCCACCCAGCCCCACGCGCGCCGCAGGUCGGGCCAACGCGGGCGACCCUCUGUCCCCGCCGCCCACUGUGCGGUCUGGAGCUGAGGACAGACACCCUCGCACGUUUUCUGCGGCGAGCCUUCCAGCUCGGACACCAGGCCAUCCGCCCCCGAUGGCUUCUUUUUCUCGGCGCUGGCAGCUGAGGGGUGGGAGCAGUUUAGUGUAAGCGGUAACCAUGACUACUGAAGUUGGCUCUGCAUCUGAAGUGAAGAAGGGCUCUGACCAGGCUGGAGCAGAUGCCUCCAAGGAGAAAGCUAAAGAAGUAGAAAAUGAGCAGACUCCAGUAUCUGAGCCAGAGGAAGAAAAGGGUUCCCAGCCAGGUCCUCCGGUUGAGAGGCAAAGCACUCCCCGCCUGCGGAAACGAGGGAAGGAUCCGUCUGAGAACAGGGGCAUCUCUCGAUUCAUACCCCCGUGGCUUAAGAAGCAGAGGUCUUACAAUUUAGUAGUAGCCAAAGAUGGAGGAGAUAAAAAAGAGCCUACUCAAGCUGACGUGGAAGACCAGAUCUUAGGCAAAGAGGAAUCCCUUCCUGAAGAAGAGAGUCGGGCCAAGGGUGACGCAGAAGAAAUGGCUCAGAGGAAGCACCUGGAGGUUCAGGUGGAGGUCAGGGAAGCAAAACCAGCCUUGAAAAGCAGCGUGGAGACCCAGCCUGCUGAAGAAGUGAGGAAGGACAAGGAGGAAACGAUACAAGACACACAGGAAGAGAAACUGGAAGGAGGUGCAGCCAAAAGGGAGACAAAGGAAGUACAGACAAGUGAGCUGAAGGCAGAGGUGGCCUCUCAGAAAGCUACCAAGAAGACCAAGACUGUCCUGGCCAAAGUGACCCUUCUAGAUGGCACGGAAUACAGCUGUGACCUUGAGAAACGUGCCAAGGGACAAGUGUUGUUUGACCGAGUGUGCGAGCACCUGAACCUCUUGGAGAAGGACUACUUUGGACUUCUAUUUCAGGAUCAUCCUGAGCAGAAAAACUGGCUAGAUCCUGCAAAGGAAAUAAAGAGACAGCUGAAAAAUCUUCCCUGGCUGUUCACUUUCAAUGUGAAAUUUUAUCCUCCAGAUCCUUCUCAGCUGACUGAAGAUAUCACCAGAUACUUCUUGUGCCUUCAGCUAAGGCAGGACAUCGCCUCUGGCCGCCUGCCCUGCUCCUUUGUGACUCACGCCCUCUUGGGAUCCUACACCUUGCAGGCCGAGCAUGGGGACUAUGACCCAGAAGAAUAUGACAGUAUUGAUCUUGGUGACUUCCAGUUUGCCCCGGCCCACACCAAGGAGUUGGAGGAAAAGGUGUCAGAACUGCAUAAAACUCACAGGGGCUUAUCUCCAGCACAAGCCGACUCUCAGUUCUUAGAGAACGCAAAGAGGCUUUCCAUGUACGGUGUUGACCUGCACCAUGCCAAGGACUCUGAAGGUGUGGACAUCAAGCUGGGUGUGUGUGCCAAUGGCCUUCUCAUUUACAAAGACAGACUAAGGAUCAAUCGUUUUGCUUGGCCGAAGAUUUUGAAAAUUUCCUAUAAGCGCAGUAAUUUCUACAUUAAAGUUAGACCAGCAGAGCUGGAACAGUUUGAGAGUACCAUUGGAUUCAAAUUGCCAAACCACCGGGCAGCUAAACGGCUAUGGAAGGUGUGUGUGGAACAUCACACUUUCUACAGGCUUGUGUCUCCAGAGCAGCCACCAAAGACCAAGUUCUUGACCCUGGGGUCCAAAUUCCGCUACAGCGGCCGCACGCAGGCACAGACCAGAGAAGCAAGUACCCUCAUAGACAGGCCGGCACCACAAUUUGAGCGUGCCUCUAGUAAACGUGUCUCGAGGAGCCUAGACGGAGCCCCGAUUGGUGUUGUGGACCAAAGCCCUCCUGGAGAGGGCUCAGUGCCUGGCCCUGGAGUUAUCAGCUAUACUACCAUCCAGGAUGGCCGGAGGGACAGCAAAAGCCCAACAAAAGCUACACCCCUGCCCGCUGAGGGAAAGACCACUUGCAUGUGCCCCCUGUCACCUCUCAUUUGCUGUACUUCAUCUUUUCCUCCUUACCUCCUGCCAGUCCUUGAAGUGGACUUGCUGUCAGACAUUUCAGAGGAAGACCCUUUUGGGGAGGCUGAUCAGACCACACUCGAUAGCUUCGAGCUGCUUUCCAUGGGUGGGACAUCAGAGCAGGGUGACUCUGAAGUGGCCACAUUGGAUUCGGUCUUAGAUCCUAUUGUAGCCCCUCGUCAACCUGACUGUCCUUCCAUGCCUGAGAAGACUGUCAGGUCGGCUGUCCCUAAGGAUGCUGAGCUGGGUUACUUCUCCUUUACCUUUCACAAAUGCUUUGCCUCUGGCUUCCCAUCCCUCCUUGAUGAAGAUGGCUACCUGGCGUUCCCCAGCCUCCCCAAGCUCUGGGUUUCUUUCCUCCCUGCUGAUGUCCAGCAUUGCGUCCCCAUCACAUCGCCUUCCUUCAUCCCUUCACUCCUCCUCAGCUUCGGGCUGCUGCUCUCGGCUUCUCAGUCGGUUGCUUUUUCUCUUACCUUUUCCCUUCCUCUGGCACUAGCCCUCUGCUAUCUGGAAGGGAAGGCCACUGCACUUCAUGUUUUUUAUGAUUGUGAUUUGAGUGACAAACCAGAGGAAGAAGAAGCAGUGACCAUCAUGCCUCCAUAAGCUACAGUGUCUGAAGUCUACCCUCCUGUUUUUGUUAUGUUCCCCCUUAUAAUAUAGAGUCUAGCCAUGUGCAUCAAUUUUACUGACUACCCUCAUAGUAUGUACACAUUUACACACACACACACACACACACACACACACACACACACACACACACACACACGCACACACGCACGCACACACUCACGAGCAGUAAGUUAAGCUACUUUUGCUAUUUGAAGUCCAGGUCUAUACACAUUCUAAAUUCAGUGCAAACUGGUAAGAUCAUUGUAUGAAUAUCUUAGAUCAUACAAUGUUAAAGGAGUGUCUGAGCAUUCAUAUUGGCUAUGUUUUGAAGAUAAUAAGUAUCAAUAUUGUUCCUUAAGCAUGUGAACAUUGUUUUGAAACAAAACUUAGAAUGUUUUGGGCAUAAUUGUAAUUGACACGUGUCAGGAGAACAUAGUAUUUUAAUCUUGAUCAAAACUCAAUAUUGCACUUGCACUUAUGAGCCCAAGUCUGUAUGUAAAUUACACUCCUGAUGUUUUAAGUCUCAGAAACUCCAUGUCUUUUGCACUUUUAGCAUUUGGGGACCAAGUAGAUAAAUUUUACUUAGUCUUCUUUCUUUUACCCUGAAUUAUGUAAUUAUAUAAGAGUAAUUAUUGAGCAUUUUAUAAGAUAGAUGAUAAUUCGGUUAUAGUGUGUAUUAAAAAUGAACCAUGGCUUUGAGAUAUUAGACUAAACAUGAGGUUGCCCUUCCCAUCUAUGUAUUUAGAAUUAGGUGUCUGAGACUUCUUACAUCUGUGUAAGAGCUUGUUUGACGUGUUCUACCUCCGCACUACUAGGAAGCCAGCCUUAGCAUGUACAGCACGAUUUUAAUUAUUUUGUUCAAUAUGGUCUGGUUAAUUAAGUUAAAGUAUCUUGUAUCUUAGGAAGUCUAUCAACACAGAGUACAUAUCAUAGAAAAAAAGGCAAACAAAAAGAAAAAUAUAAGAAAUUGAAUGAAUAUGCCAUUGUAGAAGAAAUUGUAAUUCUUUACAUUUACUUGAGAAAUAACCACAAAUCAACAUUUGAGUGAAUUAAAUGUCGACCAAGAAAGUAGAAGCUGACUCUUCCCAAGUAUAGUAGCUAUGUCAUGCUUUUCACCUCUGAUACAGAGGUGGGGAAAAGCUCUUAGCUCCCACUUACCUCUCACACAUACCACAGAAUGGUUAGAAAACAGGAUUCCUUCCACUCUGUGGCUUUGUCGUGGCAGCCCAGGAGGGGAGCUCCUGGAUGGGCUAGCCUGGGAAGCUGACGUUCCUUUUGUGUCUGUUUUUGUUUCUGACAUGAGUCUCCUAAUGUCAACAUUUACUCAAUAUUUCUUAGUCCUACUUGCAGAUUGAUUUCUGGGGUCAUUAAAUAUUUGGAAAUAUCCAACUGCAGAAAACUAUUACAUAAAAAUUUUAUGGAAAGUGGCAAUAUAUGAAAGAUUAUUUGUAAAUAUCUCCUUUAAUAUGAAAAAAAAGCUAAUUGGCUAAUUUUGCCCCAAGAAAACCUAUGUUUAAAAACUGACAGGGCAAUGUAUAGUGAUGUAAAAUUUGUAACCUACUCAGAGCUGAAGACAAAUUUGGCGUCUCUGUACCUCGUUCCAUUGCUGCUUGGCUUUUGCCAUCUUUGCACUCUCAUUUUUAUUCUGCUUAAAAAAGAAAAUUCUUUAAAGUGGAGCGCACUCUAGGGACUGAGAAAGAGUGAGUUGCCCUUGUCCAUCCCACCCACGCAAAGGACCAUUUCAUCAUGCACAGCAAGCAACUAGCGAAGACAGCCACUGGCUUAGCGUGUCCUGGGGUAGGGCAAGCUUGUCCUGCCACAGCGCCCAUUCAGUCGGACACAGCAUCUCUGCCCUGGAGGUGGAGCCCUGCCAGGAGCCCUCCUUUCUGCCUGUGUGGCCAGUGGCUUUGCAGGGGAAGAUGGAAGAUGCAGAGAUGUCCCCAGAGCAGGACCUGGAUAAGGCCCAGGAGGCCAUUCUGAAACAUCAGGCUAGCAUUAGUGAACUCAAGCGCAAUUUCAUGGCGUCCACACCUGAGCCUCGCCCCAGUGAAUGGGAGAAGCGGCGGGUCACACCUCUGCCUUUCCAACCACAAGCGAGCCUAGAAGAGGAGAUAACAUCCAUUCUGUUUAGUGGGCAGGGCUUUUCUCUUAGUGUGAAAGCCUCCUUCCCUUCAGCCACCACUUGGACAGCAGAGGGCCCUGUUGUGAACGCUAAUGCACCCAGAGAGCCGCUUUCUUCUUCGCCCUUUUCACACUCGCCUGAGACUCGUCCUCCCACGUCGGAAGGGCCUUGCACUGGACCCAGGGACGCUGUUAAGAGUUCACAUGAGACUCUGAAUGUAGUGGAGGAGAAGAAGCGGGCAGAGGUUGGGAAAGACGAAAGCGUAAUCACAGAAGAAAUGAAUGGUAAAGAGAUGUCACCGGGGCAUGGUCCUGGGGAGACUCGUAAGGUGGAGCCUGUGGCACACAAAGACUCCACCUCCCUGUCUUCUGAGAGCAGCAGCAGCAGCAGUGAGAGUGAGGAGGACGUGGGAGAGUACCAGCCCCACCACCGAGUGACCGAGGGCACCAUAAGGGAAGAGCAGGAGGAGUGUGAUGAAGAGCUGGAGGAAGAGCCCGGCCAAGGAGCCAAGGUAGUAGAGAGGGAGGCAGCAGUGCCCGACGCCGUCCCAGACAGACAAGCAGGGGCCAGUGUGCUCCCAGUAGAAACAGAGGCCCAGGAACAUGUAGUUGCCCAAAAGUUACCUGGAGAAAAGGGUGCACACGGAGGCACUGCUGAGCAGGACCCGAGAGAAGAAGCAGAGGAAGACCCGCACAGAGUUAAUGGAGAGGUGCCCCAUCUUGACCUUGAUGGUUUGCCAGAGAUUAUUUGUUGUUCAGAGCCACCAGUGGUAAAAACAGAGAUGGUAACAAUUUCUGAUGCCUCACAAAGGACAGAAAUCUCCACCAAGGAAGUCCCCAUUGUUCAAACUGAGACCAAAACCAUCACAUAUGAGUCUCCACAGAUUGACGGCGGGGCUGGUGGUGAUUCGGGCGUGUUACUGACCGCACAAACCAUCACAUCUGAGUCCGCGUCAACAACGACAACCACACACAUCACCAAGACUGUGAAAGGUGGGAUCUCUGAAACACGAAUUGAGAAACGCAUUGUGAUCACAGGAGACGCAGCUCUGGAUCAUGAUCAGGCGCUGGCUCAGGCCAUACGGGAAGCGAGAGAGCAGCACCCUGAUAUGUCGGUCACAAGGGUGGUAGUGCACAAAGAAACAGAGUUGGCGGAGGAAGGAGAAGAAUAAGAAAGUCUUUUUUAAACAACAUUUAACUUCAUGAAUCUGAAGAACUUUGACCAUUCCAAGUCUUAACGCCGUACCACUACUCCAGCAAAACUGUGCUCCGACUGGUAACAGUGACCAGAAGCCUGAAGAAUUAAAAUGCCAACAGCAAACCAUACCUUAACAGCUCUGGUCUCUACUAUUCCCAUACACUUCUAAUAUAUUGUUUGUUAUAUAACCACUUCUAGACACCCUGCUCCCCUGUUCUUUCUUUCCCUACCUUUUUUUAAUUCUUUGUUUUUUAUUAGGGUUUGUGUUUGUUUCCUUUCCCUACCUGCUUUUUUGACUCAUUUGCUCAAAUGACAGUGAACAAAGCCAGCCGGGCUGGUAAGGCGCUGUUCACCUGAACAGGUGCUGUUAUGUGGAAAGGAAACUCGUGACUAAUUUAGAUAGCAAUUUUCAUUCUUCAAGAUUGUCUCCAUUCAACUCUUACAGUCAAUAUUUACAGCUUUCAGACUGCAGUAGGGAUACUGCAUGAGAACAUAUUAAUACCAAUUAAAAGCAUUUUUUACAUCUUGAAAUUUUUCUAAUAUUAGGGAAUUUCACUACGGAUGAUUUUUAUAUAGAUCUUUGACCUUCCAGUCCUUUGACUUUGUACUUCAGUAGAGUCAGACAGAGACUCUCUGGACUGGAGAAUUAAGAAGCUCACUGACCAGGUACUGUGUUGAGAGACCCUCGGCCCACAGUGCAGUACUUCUCAGACAUGCGCUUUGCCACAGCAUUCCAGAACAGGAGGAGAACCACACCGUGUGCCCUUCCCUUUUACUAAGAGAAAACCAGGCAGCUUCCAGCCUUAGAGAUUUCUUUCUUAACCUUCCCAGUUCCAGUUCUUCCCACUGUCUGAACACUUGCUUUGUAUGAAACUUGUCUGUCUCCAUGUACACGGACCCUUUGCUACUGAGCAGGUAAUCUCUGACAUAGUUUGAUGACUUGCAGCUUUGAAGACACUGGGAAGAAGAGGUUGGGGACAGUCGGUCGGGGGUUUGGUUGGUUGUAAGAAGCCAUACCAUGUAAAACUAACAUCAGAGAAGCUGAUAGGAGUUUAACUGUAUUGAACAUUCUUCUCAUUUGCUUUUGACUCUAUGUAUAGUUAUGACGGCAGAUUAGAUUUAUGUCAGCUUCAAGUUGUAUUAAAUAUUUUGCUUUAUGUAAUACUGUUAUAAAAUAAAAGUUUGUUUAUUCUA
Mus musculus (house mouse) is the source of this 7199-nucleotide RNA transcript. It is a transcript of the gene named erythrocyte membrane protein band 4.1 like 2, with no coding region annotated. The transcript has 22 exons. The record is from RefSeq and is marked validated. Lineage: Eukaryota; Metazoa; Chordata; Mammalia; Rodentia; Muridae.